RNAcentral lists this long non-coding RNA (1034 nucleotides) under Homo sapiens (human). Its description in RNAcentral is "HSALNT0186651". The record is from RNAcentral. Lineage: Eukaryota; Metazoa; Chordata; Mammalia; Primates; Hominidae.
AGCAUUCUGAACAGCAAUGCUCAUCACAUAAACAUGAAGUUUCCUCCAAAAGGAAUGAUGACUAAUGCUUUGAGGAAACAGCAGACGUCAGACAGCAAGCCCAGAAAAACCUGCCAGCACCAAGAGGGUGUCCUCAACAGGCGCCUGGGGGACAUAUUAUUCUAACUAAAGAGACCAGAGCUUCCCCAGGAAGGGAAGAGGAGAGAAAUGAAGAACGUCUGUGUUCAUGUUUGCCAAAAACAAAAGUCUGAGAAAUCUCUGAGAGACUCUACAUGGGAGGUGAAAUUUACCUUUUCUAAGACCAUUGUUGAUUUUCCUUUUACCCUUGAAGUGGACUGAAAUAUCACUAAUGGUGAGAGGAAAGCUCAGAGGUUCUAUUAAAGAAUGUGAAAUAGGUUAAUGCACUAAUCGAAGCACCUCAUUUAAAGUGAGAAAAGCUUUGCUAAGGGCAGAUGAUUCAGCACGGUAUCCUUCGAUGAGUACUGUCAUCUCAAAUCCUUUUUAAGAAGAAAAGUGCAACCCACUGGAGAAAGAGAGGGACUCCGAGGAAGGAGAGAGAGAAGAGGAUCAAGCACAAAUGAUGAUCUCCUAGGACAGUGGCAGCUUCUGAGAAUGCACAGGAAAGUGACCAGGGAAAGAAUGAUUCCAUCUCCAGGAAUCCCUGGUGAUCUUCAGAGCCCAGACAGGACCCUGCUGGGCCAUGGUAACUGCUUAAUCUUGGCCUGGUGUGCCUCAUUUUUAUAGGACUUCUGAAACCAGAAAUCACCAGCGUGGGGAGAGAACAUUAAAGGCAGAGGUGUCUCUUAUAAGCACAACGUGUGACCAGGUAAUACUGUCUGGAUUAGCAGCUGUACAGCCUAACUAAGCCCUGGAGCUACAAUUAUCUGGUCGCAUUAAACUGAAAUCACCUGAAAAACUUCACACUGAACAAGCCUUUGGAAAUGUCUAAUCUGCCAGUUUACACCCAGAAGUGAAAGUGGAAUUCACUUGUUAAAGACAAGAAAACAAAAGUUUUCUGCCAGGAAGAGUCUCAU